RNAcentral lists this ribosomal RNA (407 nucleotides) under uncultured bacterium. RNAcentral describes it as "partial 16S ribosomal RNA". It matches the Rfam family "Bacterial small subunit ribosomal RNA", at positions 30 to 526 of the family's 1533-position model. The record is from RNAcentral.
AUUGAACGCUAGCGGGAUGCUUUACACAUGCAAGUCGAACGGAGUGGCGAACGGGUGAGUAUUGUAUCGGAACGUGCCCAGUAGCGGGGGAUCACUCCGCGAACGCGUAGCUAAUACCGCCUACUAUUGGAGCGGCCGAUAUCGGCUUAGCUAUUUGGUGGGGUAACGGCGCACCACGGCGACGAUCCGUAGCUGGUUUGAGAGGAAGACCAGCCACACUGGGACUGGGACACGGCCCAGACUCCUACGGGAGGCAGCAGUGGGGAAUUUUGGACAAUGGGCGAAACCCUGAUCCAGCCAUGCCGCGUGUGCGAUGAAGGCCUUCGGGUUGUAAAGCACUUUUGGCAGGAAAGCGGUACCUGCAGAAUAAGCACCGGCUAACUACGUGCCAGCAGCCGCGGUAAUUC